Molecule: long non-coding RNA, 244 nt
Filed under: Mytilus galloprovincialis (Mediterranean mussel)
Lineage: Eukaryota; Metazoa; Mollusca; Bivalvia; Mytilida; Mytilidae
Source: RNAcentral
CUACAUAUUGGUGUUGGUGUUUAAACUAACAGAAAAAUAUACCAAACUGGACAUAUUUUUAUCCUGUAAAAGUUACUCUCCAUCUGAAUGAGAUAGUAGCACAGACUUAUUUGUAGAUUUUUAAACAAAAUGCAUAUGAUAGAAAAACAAAAUCAUGUACCAUAUGUGUAGCAUAAAUAUAAAUGCACAGACACUGCAAAGUCAUAUAAACUUACAGUUUGGUUAACAAAUUUUCUAAAAAGGC